AACCACUGGGGCUUUCUGGUUGGAGCUGAACUCCAUUGACUGGGAGGGAGACAAGGUUCUAGGAGGGGGAAUUCAAAUUCUCAAAACCCUUCUGCUUGUGUUACAGUCCAGCGGGCCCAGAAUAUUACCUCCUCCUCCCAUCAGCCAUUGGCAAACUCUGCCCUGAAGAAGAAGCUCCAGCACACCAGGGAACAGACCUUAACUGGCAUCCCAUCAGAUCCAGGAACUCUGCCAUUCCUCAGGACUUCAACUACAGUGAUGAGUUCUUCAACUGUUGGAACCAAUGUGACUGUGCGGAAAAUCAUCUAGUAAUUACCAACACCAUUUUUUCACUGAUCAAAUGAUGUCUGAGCGGAGAAGUUUAAGUAAACAGGAACAUAGGAAGCUUCAUCUUGGAUUCUAUUCAGCAAUCCUCUUGCAACAACAGACUUCAGAUUUCAAAAUUAAAAAAGAAUGUUGAUUGAA
Ornithorhynchus anatinus (platypus) is the source of this 465-nucleotide long non-coding RNA. RefSeq lists it as uncharacterized. The transcript has 4 exons. NCBI's taxonomy places the organism in Eukaryota, Metazoa, Chordata, Mammalia, Monotremata, Ornithorhynchidae. The record is from RefSeq and is a predicted model, not a curated record.